CCCGCUCAGAAACUUAAAGGAAGUUGACGGGGGCCCGCACAAGCAGCGGAGCGUGUGGUUUAAUUCGAUGAUACACGAAGAACCUUACCCAGGCUUGACAUGUUGGUAGUAGGGAUCCGAAAGGUGACCGACCCUUCGGGGAGCCUUCACAGGUGCUGCAUGGCUGUCGUCAGCUCGUGUCGUGAGAUGUCCGGUUAAGUCCGGUAACGAGCGCAACCCUCGCUGUGUGUUAUAUGUGUCACACGGGACUGCCGGUAUCAAGCCGGAGGAAGGUGGGGAUGACGUCAAGUCAGCAUGGCCUUUAUGUCUGGGGCUACACACACGCUACAAUGGCCAGUACAAUAGGUUGCAAGACCGCGAGGUGGAGCCAAUCCUUAAAGCUGGUCUCAGUUCGGAUUGCAGGCUGCAACUCGCCUGCAUGAAGUCGGAGUUGCUAGUAACCGCGCGUCAGCUAUAGUGCGGUGAAUACGUUCCCGGGCCUU
This 482-nucleotide ribosomal RNA is filed under the name uncultured Anaerolineaceae bacterium. Its description in RNAcentral is "bacterial SSU rRNA". It matches the Rfam family "Bacterial small subunit ribosomal RNA", at positions 888 to 1382 of the family's 1533-position model. Lineage: Bacteria; Bacillati; Chloroflexota; Anaerolineae; Anaerolineales; Anaerolineaceae. The record is from RNAcentral.